This 72-nucleotide transfer RNA is filed under the name Camelus dromedarius (Arabian camel). It matches the Rfam family "tRNA". Rfam says of the family: Transfer RNA (tRNA) molecules are approximately 80 nucleotides in length. Their secondary structure includes four short double-helical elements and three loops (D, anti-codon, and T loops). Further hydrogen bonds mediate the characteristic L-shaped molecular structure. tRNAs have two regions of fundamental functional importance: the anti-codon, which is responsible for specific mRNA codon recognition, and the 3' end, to which the tRNAs corresponding amino acid is attached (by aminoacyl-tRNA synthetases). tRNAs cope with the degeneracy of the genetic code in two manners: having more than one tRNA (with a specific anti-codon) for a particular amino acid; and 'wobble' base-pairing, i.e. permitting non-standard base-pairing at the 3rd anti-codon position. Lineage: Eukaryota; Metazoa; Chordata; Mammalia; Artiodactyla; Camelidae. The record is from Rfam by way of RNAcentral. RNAcentral also lists the same sequence under 2 other names.
GAGGGUAUAGCUCAGUGGUAGAGUAUGUGCUUAGCAUGCACGAGGUCCUGGGUUCAAUCCCCAGUACCUCCA